UACAGAGACUGCAAGCGUUAUUCGGAUUCACUGGGCGUAAAGGGUGCGCAGGCGGCCAAGUGUGUGAGGCGUGAAAGCCCGGGGCUUAACCCCAGAAUUGCACCUCAAACUACAUGGCUAGAGCAUUGGAGAGGGUAGCAGAAUUCACGGUGUAGCAGUGAAAUGCGUAGAUAUCGUGAGGAAUACCAGAGGCGAAGGCGGCUACCUGGACAAUUGCUGACGCUCAGGCACGAAAGCGUGGGGAGCAAAAGGG
Molecule: ribosomal RNA, 253 nt
Filed under: uncultured bacterium
Lineage: Bacteria
Description: partial 16S ribosomal RNA
Rfam family: Bacterial small subunit ribosomal RNA
Source: RNAcentral